UACGAAGGGGGCUAGCGUUGUUCGGAAUUACUGGGCGUAAAGCGCGUGUAGGCGGGCCGUUAAGUUGGGGGUGAAAGCCCAGAGCUCAACUCUGGAAUUGCCUUCGAUACUGGCGGCCUGGAGCAUGAUAGAGGCGAGUGGAAUUGCGAGUGUAGAGGUGAAAUUCGUAGAGAUUCGCAGGAACACCAGUGGCGAAGGCGACUCGCUGGAUCAUUGCUGACGAUGAGACGCGAAAGCGUGGGGAGCAAACAGG
Molecule: ribosomal RNA, 253 nt
Filed under: uncultured bacterium
Lineage: Bacteria
Description: partial 16S ribosomal RNA
Rfam family: Bacterial small subunit ribosomal RNA
Source: RNAcentral